UGGGGAAUCUUCCGCAAUGGACGAAAGUCUGACGGAGCAACGCCGCGUGAGUGAAGAAGGUUUUCGGAUCGUAAAACUCUGUUUUCAGGGACGAAUGUGCCGAUUGUAAAUAAUGAUUGGUAAUGACGGUACCUGACAAGAAAGCCACGGCUAACUACGUGCCAGCAGCCGCGGUAAUACGUAGGUGGCAAGCGUUGUCCGGAAUUAUUGGGCGUAAAGCGCGCGCAGGUGGGAUAAUCAGUCUGAUGUGAAAGUUCGGGGCUUAACCCCGUGAAGCAUUGGAAACUAUUAUUCUUGAGUGCAGGAGAGGAAAGUGGAAUUCCUAGUGUAGCGGUGAAAUGCGUAGAUAUUAGGAGGAACACCAGUGGCGAAGGCGACUUUCUGGACUGUGUCUGACACUGAGGCGCGAAAGCCAGGGUAGUGAACGGG
RNAcentral lists this ribosomal RNA (429 nucleotides) under uncultured bacterium. Its description in RNAcentral is "bacterial SSU rRNA". It matches the Rfam family "Bacterial small subunit ribosomal RNA", at positions 355 to 776 of the family's 1533-position model. The record is from RNAcentral.